GGGCCGCUAGCUCAGUCGGUAGAGCAGCUGACUCUUAAUCAGCGGGUCACAGGUUCGAGUCCUGUGCGGCCCACCA
RNAcentral lists this transfer RNA (76 nucleotides) under Armatimonadota bacterium. RNAcentral's name for it is "Armatimonadetes bacterium (activated sludge metagenome) tRNA-Lys". It matches the Rfam family "tRNA". Rfam says of the family: Transfer RNA (tRNA) molecules are approximately 80 nucleotides in length. Their secondary structure includes four short double-helical elements and three loops (D, anti-codon, and T loops). The record is from RNAcentral. Lineage: Bacteria; Bacillati; Armatimonadota.